UCAACACCUGCGGCUGCAUAUGGACUUCUAAUUAGAAAUACAUCUAAGAGCAGACAUCCUGGGAGAGACUUGCCUGGGCUGCUCUGCUCUCUCCAGCUCUUGCCACUUCUCUGCUGCUGAUGCUCAGAACACUGAAGCAUUUUGGAGUCUUCUCUGACUAACAAGUGGCUCAAGGCCUCCAGCUCUGUCCUCACACUCCUGUCGAGUGUAGUUAAGUAAGUGUCUUCACAAAUGGAAAGUGAUUUCUCUGCUACAGCCCCUCUGGGUACGAGUCCCACCCAACCAGAAUCAUGAAUGCUGAGGCCUUGUCCCUAGGAAUGAAGUAUGUGCAUCUCAGUAAACAAUUCUGUCCUUGGCAUCUGAUUGAUUUAUAAAGCUCAUUUUCAGUGUGCUUGUGAAGGGGUAAAGUAGAAAAAACUGGAGCUUUCUGCUUCAAAACUCAAUCUGAUCCCUUGCAGCAGAAUAUCCUUUAGGCACAACAUCUCUGCAAGGCUGCCAUUUUUCUACCUGCUUCCCUGGGCAGAGCAAAGGGGUAAAACAAAUGUUAGGGUUCAUGCAAACCAAUGUAGAUUAUGCAUUUUUUCCCCUUUGCCUUUCCUAGGGAAAAUAAGAGGGAAAGUGAAUUUUUCUUAGGCUGAAUCGAAAAGUUUUGUUAUCUGCCAAGCAUAAAAAUUCUUUUCAUCUUUGGAAAUCUUUAGGCUUUGGACAAAUAAGUACAAUUUGGAUAACAGAAAACACUGUUUUCUUUUGAAAAGACUCUUCAUUUCUAAAGUGCCAGAG
RNAcentral lists this long non-coding RNA (780 nucleotides) under Gallus gallus (chicken). Lineage: Eukaryota; Metazoa; Chordata; Aves; Galliformes; Phasianidae. The record is from RNAcentral.